This 253-nucleotide ribosomal RNA is filed under the name uncultured bacterium. RNAcentral describes it as "partial 16S ribosomal RNA". It matches the Rfam family "Bacterial small subunit ribosomal RNA", at positions 524 to 776 of the family's 1533-position model. The record is from RNAcentral.
UACGUAGGUGGCAAGCGUUGUCCGGAUUUACUGGGCGUAAAGAGCGCGCAGGCGGUCAGAUAAGUCGAAUGUGAAGGCCCCCGGCUCAACUGGGGAGGGUCAUUCGAUACUGUUCGACUCGAAGGCAGGAGAGGGAAGUGGAAUUCCCGGUGUAGUGGUGAAAUGCGUAGAUAUCGGGAGGAACACCAGUGGCGAAGGCGGCUCUCUGGUACGUGACUGACGCUGAGACGCGAAAGCGUGGGGAGCGAACAGG